Molecule: transfer RNA, 77 nt
Filed under: Pseudomonadota bacterium
Lineage: Bacteria; Pseudomonadati; Pseudomonadota
Also listed under: 1 other name
Description: Proteobacteria bacterium tRNA-Val
Rfam family: tRNA
About the family: Transfer RNA (tRNA) molecules are approximately 80 nucleotides in length.
Source: RNAcentral
AGGCGCGUAGCUCAGUUGGUUAGAGCACCACCUUGACAUGGUGGGGGUCGAUGGUUCGAAUCCAUUCGCGCCUACCA